UACGGAGGGCGCGAGCGUUAAUCGGAAUUACUGGGCGUAAAGCGCGCGUAGGCUGUUGUGUAAGUUGGGGGUGAAAUCCCACGGCUCAACCGUGGAACAGCCCUUGAUACUGCGCGACUUGAAUCCGGGAGAGGGUGGCGGAAUUCCAGGUGUAGGAGUGAAAUCCGUAGAUAUCUGGAGGAACAUCAGUGGCGAAGGCGGCCACCUGGACCGGUAUUGACGCUGAGGCGCGAAAGCGUGGGGAGCAGACAGG
RNAcentral lists this ribosomal RNA (253 nucleotides) under uncultured bacterium. RNAcentral's name for it is "partial 16S ribosomal RNA". It matches the Rfam family "Bacterial small subunit ribosomal RNA", at positions 524 to 776 of the family's 1533-position model. The record is from RNAcentral.